UACGUAGGGUGCGAGCGUUGUCCAGAAUUAUUGGGCGUAAAGAGCUCGUAGGCGGUCUGUCACGUCGGCUGUGAAAACCCGAGGCUCAACCUCGGGCCUGCAGUCGAUACGGGCAGACUAGAGUUCGGUAGGGGAGACUGGAAUUCCUGGUGUAGCGGUGAAAUGCGCAGAUAUCAGGAGGAACACCGGUGGCGAAGGCGGGUCUCUGGGCCGAAACUGACGCUGAGGAGCGAAAGCGUGGGGAGCGAACAGG
Molecule: ribosomal RNA, 253 nt
Filed under: uncultured bacterium
Lineage: Bacteria
Description: partial 16S ribosomal RNA
Rfam family: Bacterial small subunit ribosomal RNA
Source: RNAcentral